This 479-nucleotide ribosomal RNA is filed under the name uncultured bacterium. RNAcentral describes it as "partial 16S ribosomal RNA". It matches the Rfam family "Bacterial small subunit ribosomal RNA", at positions 28 to 507 of the family's 1533-position model. The record is from RNAcentral.
GAUGAACGCUGGCGGCGUACUUAACACAUGCAAGUCGAGCGAGAAGUUUUGAAAAGAUUCUUCGGAUGAAAUUUAAAAUGGCAAGCGGCGGACGGGUGAGUAACGCGUAGGCAACCUGCCCCAUACAAAGGGAUAGCAUUUGGAAACGAAUAUUAAUACCUUAUGAAACUUAACUAGUGCAUGCUAGGUAGGUCAAAGAUUUAUCGGUAUGGGAUGGGCCUGCGUCUGAUUAGCUAGUUGGUGAGGUAACGGCUCACCAAGGCGACGAUCAGUAGCCGACCUGAGAGGGUGAACGGCCACAUUGGAACUGAGACACGGUCCAAACUCCUACGGGAGGCAGCAGUGGGGAAUAUUGCACAAUGGGGGAAACCCUGAUGCAGCAACGCCGCGUGAACGAUGAAGGCCUUUGGGUCGUAAAGUUCUGUUCUAGGUGAUGAAAACUGACAGUAACCUAGGAGAAAGCCCCGGCUAACUCCGUG